AUCAAGUAUGAAAGACUCAGUUCCUAGGCAGUGGUGUUUAACCUUUAGGAGGCGGGGCUACUGCAAGGAAGUUAGGUCGUUGGGGGCGUGGCCUCCAAGGGGGUACUGGGACCCAGGCCCUUCCGUCUUGUUUGUUUCUCAGCUGCCAGGUAGUAAAUGGGUCUUCUCUCCCAUGCGCACCGACCGUGAUCUCCCGUGCUUCCUCAGGUGCAAACAACAGGGCCAAGUAACCUUGGAGUGAAGCCUCUGGAACCGCGAGGCACGGUAAGCCCUGCCUCCUUAAAAGCUGGUUAUCUCAGGCAAGUAUUUUUUUACAGCAGUGGAAAUCCAGCAUGAGGGCCACUCAGCUGUGGCUGGGCAGGAGGGAGGAAGCGUGGCCGUACAUCUGGGAGCAGAGAUGAGCAAGGCACGUGGUGGAAUAAGGAAGGGGGUGGCCGUGGCCAGAAGAGCGUGAAGAAUGGUAAGAAAUACUGGUAAGUGGGUGGAGUAUUACCUCGAAUGGCCUGGAAAUAAAGCAGGUCACUUUCCCUUGAUGUGGCAGGAAAAAGCUUGCUAUUCAGUUUUGAGGUGAAAGCAGCGUGAAGUAAGAUUGUGCUUAAAAGAACAACAAAUUCACCUUAGAACAAAGGGCGUCGGAUUCUAGGUGCCAUCCGGCAAGCUAUGAAAUAAAUACGGAUGUGGAAUAGUGCAAGCCCGGAGUUUGAUUGUGCUGGGUGAUAUGGACAAAAGAUGUUUUACAGAGGAAAAAAAUGGUAGGAGAUGAAUGGCUAGAUGUGGGAGUGAAACAGAAAAAUGAGUCAAUGGAAAACAUAAGCUUUAAGUCUUGAUGAUUGGACCCAAGAGGAGGAGAGGCCGCCUAGGACAGGUGGAGAGAGGUGAUAAUGGGCUUUGGUUAUUGGGGUCCAGGAGAUCCAUUUUUUUUGUCUUUUUAUCAGUACUGGGGAUGGAACUGAUGACCACACACUUGCAAGGCAGGCGCUUAUGCCGCUGAGCUAAAUCCCCAGCCCCAGGAUCCACUAUUUAAUUAUCUGCUCUCAGCUUGCUGUGUACAUAUAAGGUUAACCCCAGCAGGAGGACAGAGCAUGCAUUCUCCUCCAUGUAGUUAGUAAGGGAUGCCUAAGUAAGGGACCGCUCAAAGGCAGUGGUGAGUGUUGGGGUGUAGUUCUGUGCAGAGCAAGUGUUCAGCACGCCUGAGGCUCUGGGCUCCAUCCCUGGCAACAACGACAAAGAAAGAAAGCCAUCUAGCUUUGUAAUUGGCUUUAAAAUUUGGCAGAAAUUAUUUCUUAAGGUUCCUGAAUAUGAAACUUUGGAAUCGAAUCAGUCUUGCUAAGAAAAAUUCAGAAUAUUGGCAAUGGAGCAGGAACUCCUAAAAACUACACAUAAAAUCCACCAAGUGAAAAUAGGUCAAGACAAAAACAAACUGAGCAAUGUUUAUAACAUUAUUUGUGCCUAAUUAUCAUUUUAAGCAAACAAAACCUUUGUCUCUGUGACUGAGGGGCAGGUGCAUCAUGGACAAACAAAAGGGACCUUUUUGGUGCCAGCAGGAAUAGCUUCAAAUUACAACGCAGUAUUGCAGAAGUUAAACAUACCGAUAUUUUAGGAGAUGUUUUAUUUCAUACACAUUUCCAAAACAUUCAAAAUUAAUCUAUUUGUCUUCUGGGAGAUUAUAUCGGGGUGACAAUAUUAAUAGAGUGAUGUAUACUGGCCGUCUUUCUGAUUGUGUUCCUGAUAUUUUGCAGUUAUUAAAUAUUUGAAAUGAUCAGGUUUGCCCAUACUGAAAAGGAGCAGGUUAAAGCUUUUUUCUUAUCUAUAGAAAGAUUUUUUGCCCAAUAUCUGAAACAUCCAUUGGAACAAUGGGGUACAGAUAGGCUGAGCAUAAACCCAUAGUGUAUUCAAAUAAAUAACAACGUCCUGAGGCUCAUGUAGGGUCCAGCAAGAGCAAAGGAACUGAUCCCUCGUCUCUUUAGGACUCUCUGUAAAUUACUCUCCCCAGUUUCUCGGAGUUUGUGCUCUUUGAUUGUUUCUUCAUGUGUGAUAUUUUCGGGAUGGUGGGAAAAUUUUUAUUCAUCUUUUGUCAUUGUGCUUCAUCCAUGAAAAUGCUGAAUAAUGUAGGCAAUAAAUAGAAAUCUUCCUCAGAUAACUCAGAGCCUUCUUAUAAAGCUGUGCGUAUACCUCAGGGGCUGAUUUUGGAAAGUUAUUUCUGAGCUUCAUAGUUGAGAUCUUGCUAUCUGCUAUGUGCUAUUUUUAUUUUCUGAGUUGUAGCAUUGUUCUUGGAUGAAGCUUUAGAGGAGAUUAAUCAGAUGCAAGAUUCCUGCAAACAGCUGGGAUAAGCCUUAAACAACUUACGGUAAGUACUUAACUUUGAAACUGUUCCUUGAAAACAGGUGCACAGAAGUCACAACAGCCUUCCAUACUGCUGUCAUGAAAUAUAAACUAGUGACAUUCAUGAAUAAAUAAAUAAAAUUGAUCUUUAACCAGUCCUUUUACAUUUUGACACAUAUUUUAUUUUAUUGUCAGUGUUUUUUUUUUUAAGUUUUAGUAUGUUUGCUGUACAUAAUUGUACUGAUCUUGGUGGAUUAGUAUAUACAUACAUCUUGAUCAUUUUUAGACUUUCUUUCCUUUCCCCACCCCUUUCUUCCUGACUGAAUGCUGAAGAAUACAAGUGACAAAAGAUGCUGGCCUUCCGAUGCCAGAGGAAACUCAGAGAUGAGUGCUCAGGCCCUCCUCAUUCCCCCAACCCCUGGAGAGUCUUCUAAAGGUUUAUAUCCAGUAGUAUCAAUGUUUUCUCUAGUUCUGCUGUUGUUUUUCUUGAUUUUUCAGGGAAAGAAAAAAUUUAAAAGUUUUUAUUAAGCAAAAAGAUAUCCAUGAUGAAUUUUCAAAGGAAGAUAUUUAAAAGACUCAAAUGGGAAGGAGGUUGCUGGACUCAAUUUUCAAGAAACAAAAAUGCAGUUAAGGGCCUGUAUCAGCACCCAGAGCUUGGCCCAUUCAGCGGACCAGGUUUGAGGAAAUGCACCAACUGGGAGCAUCUCUUCAGACAGCCUGACCACGACGGCCUUCCACUGCCCCGCCAGUUGCCCUGACCUCCAGCUGGAGCCUUAGCACAUGCAUACAGCUUGCUCACAGAUGAAAGUGACCGUUAAUGAUAACAGAGGGCCGGCCAUGCUGUUGGUCACAGUGAAGGCCGCCUUAGAACAGCAGCACAGCAGCCAGAGUGACACUCCCUGACCACAAGGCAUGGGAGGUGGGGGGAGGCCCAUGCUGGCAGCUGGUGAGGUGGGAGCCCCGGAGGGCCCCAAACCCUGGAGCUCCAGAUCUCAGGUGGGGAAAUCUUUGAAGCUCUCAGCCCAGCAGCCUGGUCUCCUGGAAAACACCCCUGGUUUCUCACUGACUGGUUUUGAGUUUCUCAUAUAAGAGAAAUCAUGCAAUAUUUAAGUCUGUGUCUGAUUUAUUUCACUUAAUAUUGUGAUCUGAAGGUGCAUCCAUCUUCUUGCAAAUGACUCAGAUUUAUUCUUUGUAGCAAAGUAGGACUCCAUUGUGCAUAAACACUGCUUUUUCUUUA
Molecule: long non-coding RNA, 3559 nt
Organism: Cavia porcellus (domestic guinea pig)
Lineage: Eukaryota; Metazoa; Chordata; Mammalia; Rodentia; Caviidae
Exons: 2
Source: RefSeq, a predicted model, not a curated record